Molecule: transfer RNA, 85 nt
Filed under: Felis catus (domestic cat)
Lineage: Eukaryota; Metazoa; Chordata; Mammalia; Carnivora; Felidae
Rfam family: tRNA
About the family: Transfer RNA (tRNA) molecules are approximately 80 nucleotides in length. Their secondary structure includes four short double-helical elements and three loops (D, anti-codon, and T loops).
Source: Rfam by way of RNAcentral
GCCUAGGUGGCUCAGUCGGUUAAGCACCUGAGUUUGGCUCAGGUCACGAUCUCACAGUUUGUGGGUUCAAGCCCCAUACUGGGCU